UACGGGGGGAGCAAGCGUUGUUCGGAUUUACUGGGCGUAAAGGGCGCGUAGGCGGCCAGCACAAGUCAGUUGUGAAAUCUCCGAGCUUAACUCGGAAAGGUCAACUGAUACUGUGCGGCUAGAGUGCGGAAGGGGCAACUGGAAUUCUUGGUGUAGCGGUGAAAUGCGUAGAUAUCAGGAGGAACACCGACGGCGAAGGCAGGUCUCUGGGCUGACACUGACGCUCAUGCACGAAAGCGUGGGGAGCAAACAGG
Molecule: ribosomal RNA, 254 nt
Filed under: uncultured bacterium
Lineage: Bacteria
Description: partial 16S ribosomal RNA
Rfam family: Bacterial small subunit ribosomal RNA
Source: RNAcentral